CCUACGGGAGACAGCAGUGAGGAAUAUUGGUCAAUGGGCGGGAGCCUGAACCAGCCAAGUCGCGUGAGGGAAGACGGGCCUAUGGAUUGUAAACCUCGGUAGGCGGGGAGCAAUGCCGGGCACGCGUGCCCGGAGGGAGAGUACCCGAAGAAGAAGCAUCGGCUAACUCCGUGCCAGCAGCCGCGGUAAUACGGAGGAUGCGAGCGUUAUCCGGAUUUAUGGGGUUUAAAGGGUGCGUAGGCGGAUUUUUAAGUCAGCGGUAAAAUGUCCGGGCUCAACCCGGGCCGGCCGUUGAAACUGGGGAUCUUGAGUGGGCGAGAAGUAUGCGGAAUGCGUGGUGUAGCGGUGCAAUGCAUAGAUAUCACGCAGAACUCCGAUUGCGAAGGCAGCAUACCGGCGCCCGACUGACGCUGAGGCACGAAAGCGUGGGGAUCGAACAGGAUUAGAUACCCCUGUAGUC
Molecule: ribosomal RNA, 460 nt
Filed under: uncultured bacterium
Lineage: Bacteria
Description: partial 16S ribosomal RNA
Rfam family: Bacterial small subunit ribosomal RNA
Source: RNAcentral